GACGAACGCUGGCGGCGUGCUUAACACAUGCAAGUCGAACGGAAAGGCCCUGCUUUUGUGGGGUGCUCGAGUGGCGAACGGGUGAGUAACACGUGAGUAACCUGCCCUUGACUUUGGGAUAACUUCAGGAAACUGGGGCUAAUACCGGAUAGGAGCUCCUGCUGCAUGGUGGGGGUUGGAAAGUUUCGGCGGUUGGGGAUGGACUCGAGGCUUAUCAGCUUGUUGGUGGGGUAGUGGCUUACCAAGGCUUUGACGGGUAGCCGGCCUGAGAGGGUGACCGGCCACAUUGGGACUGAGGUACGGCCCAGACUCCUACGGGAGACAGCGGUGGGGAAUAUUGCACAAUGGGCGGGAGCCUGAUGCAGCAACGCCGCGUGCGGGAUGACGGCCUUCGGGUUGUAAACCGCUUUCGCCUAUGACGAAGCGUGAGUGACGGUAAUGGAUAAAGAAGCACCGGCUAACUACGUG
RNAcentral lists this ribosomal RNA (468 nucleotides) under uncultured bacterium. Its description in RNAcentral is "partial 16S ribosomal RNA". It matches the Rfam family "Bacterial small subunit ribosomal RNA", at positions 28 to 507 of the family's 1533-position model. The record is from RNAcentral.